AAGACCUAUUGAACAAGCAAACAUUAGCAUUCCUAAACAUAUAUCUAAUAGUUCCUCAAAAUUCUGAAAGCAAAAUCAACAAUUAUAGUCAGUUUCAGUUGAACUCUCUUAAUAACGGAUAGACUGUGAAGUCAAUGCAUAAAAUAAAAUCAGUAAGAACACUGAGGACUUGAAAAAUAAUGCCAAGGACUUGGCCUAAUUGAUAUUUAAAAAUCACUCAAUCAUAGGAGGUACACACAAAACAUUUAACAAGAUAGACCAUACUCUGAGUCAUAAAACAAGUCUCAAUAAAUUAAAAAUGUAAAUCAUAAUGUAUAUUCUGUGACUAUGAUGUAAUUAAAUGAGUUUUUAGGAAAAUAGAAUUUUCUAACAGGCCAGGCAAGGUGGUUCACACCUGUAAUCCCAGUAGUUGGGGAGGCUGAGGCAGGAAGAUAUCAAGUACAAAGCCAGCCUCAUCAACUUAAAAAAGAGGCCCUAUCUCAAAAACUAAAAAGGCCUGGGGAUGUACUCAGUGGUAAAUUGCCCCUGAGUUCUUGGUUAAAUCCAUAAUACCAACAAUAACAACAACAAAAGUGAAAUCAAACACCAGAACAAAAAGCUAGCAGAAAUCACAUAGCAGAAAUAGAUACAAAGAUACUGAACACUAGAAUUAGCAGACAAAAAAUAUUAAGUGAAUGUGUAAUAAGUUUAAGAAUAAGACCAAUUUAAAAAUAUAUGGAAG
This 721-nucleotide long non-coding RNA is filed under the name Marmota monax (woodchuck). Lineage: Eukaryota; Metazoa; Chordata; Mammalia; Rodentia; Sciuridae. The record is from RNAcentral.